UCUCCCCCGGCCACCAGGUGGCGCCCGAGACACCCCAGCGCAGACACCGCCAAAGGACGUUCUCUGGGAGCGCGCGGCUCCUUUAGUCCUAAAAACCAGACAACUUUUGGGAUUGCAGCCGGAAGGAACAAACCCUUUCCCUUCAAAGUAUCUCAGUAGCGUCGUCAACAGGAAAGGAUCAAUAAUUUCUGGCCCCAGCUGGAGAAGAUGGACUUCGCAUCUCCCGCAAGAAAUCCACUACCUCUGCAGACCAGCCAAGGAGAAACACCAUCACCCUGAGCUCCCGCUUUUCUCCACUGGACUUUCCUUCAAAGCAAGGCCUCUCAACUUCCUCCAAAAGAACAUUCCUCAGCUUUGUGGGACUUGCCUGUGGUUUUGUCAGCUUGCAAUGUCCUGAAUUAUAAUUCUCUGUUGUCCUGAAUAAACCCAUUUUGCUGGCAAAAUAA
Canis lupus familiaris (dog) is the source of this 446-nucleotide long non-coding RNA. RefSeq lists it as uncharacterized. Lineage: Eukaryota; Metazoa; Chordata; Mammalia; Carnivora; Canidae. The transcript has 2 exons. The record is from RefSeq and is a predicted model, not a curated record.